Molecule: ribosomal RNA, 119 nt
Filed under: Gossypium arboreum
Lineage: Eukaryota; Viridiplantae; Streptophyta; Magnoliopsida; Malvales; Malvaceae
Source: RNAcentral
GGGUGUGAUCAUACCAGCACUAAUGCACCGGAUCCUAUUAGAACUCUGCAGUUAAGCGUGCUUGGGUGAGAGUAGUUCUAGGAUGGGUGACCUCAUUGGAAGUUCUCUUGUUGCACCCC